Molecule: ribosomal RNA, 465 nt
Filed under: Vreelandella stevensii
Lineage: Bacteria; Pseudomonadati; Pseudomonadota; Gammaproteobacteria; Oceanospirillales; Halomonadaceae
Description: partial 16S ribosomal RNA
Rfam family: Bacterial small subunit ribosomal RNA
Source: RNAcentral
CCUACGGGAGGCAGCAGUGGAGAAUAUUGGACAAUGGGGGCAACCCUGAUCCAGCCAUGCCGCGUGUGUGAAGAAGGCCCUCGGGUUGUAAAGCACUUUCAGUGAGGAAGAACGCCUGGUGGUUAAUACCCAUCAGGAAAGACAUCACUCACAGAAGAAGCACCGGCUAACUCCGUGCCAGCAGCCGCGGUAAUACGGAGGGUGCGAGCGUUAAUCGGAAUUACUGGGCGUAAAGCGCGCGUAGGUGGCUUGAUAAGCCGGUUGUGAAAGCCCCGGGCUCAACCUGGGAACGGCAUCCGGAACUGUCAAGCUAGAGUGCAGGAGAGGAAGGUAGAAUUCCCGGUGUAGCGGUGAAAUGCGUAGAGAUCGGGAGGAAUACCAGUGGCGAAGGCGGCCUUCUGGACUGACACUGACACUGAGGUGCGAAAGCGUGGGUAGCAAACAGGAUUAGAUACCCCUGUAGUC